GUACUUGCUUCGGCAGUACAUAUACUAAAAUUGGAACGAUACAGAGAAGAUAAGCAUGGCCCCUGCGCAAGGUUGACACGCAAAAUCGUGAAGCGUUCCACAUUUUU
Molecule: small nuclear RNA, 107 nt
Filed under: Bombyx mandarina (wild silkworm)
Lineage: Eukaryota; Metazoa; Arthropoda; Insecta; Lepidoptera; Bombycidae
Source: RNAcentral